Non-coding RNA from Nicotiana tabacum (common tobacco), 1837 nucleotides. Lineage: Eukaryota; Viridiplantae; Streptophyta; Magnoliopsida; Solanales; Solanaceae. The record is from RefSeq and is a predicted model, not a curated record.
UACAGCAGCAUCACAUACUUUCCUUUCCUUCAAGAAUUCUUCUAUUUUUUUCCCUCCAUGUAGUUCACAAAUUGCCUGUGGACUCUCUUACCAUCCCCUCUUGACUUCCAGCUUCCAAAUAAUGCUAUAACAUACCUGGGGUAACGCAUCAGAUGGAAAAUAGAUUAAGCAUCAAAGUCUGCAGCAGGUGUUACUAGUGGAGCCACUAGAACAGCUUUGACACAGCACUUUGCCUUUCAAAACAAUGCAGCAAAUAUAACUGCAAAGGAAGGAAGCCAAGAAACUCUUGCUAUAAUGAUUGGGAUGGCUUUAGGAAUGCUUCUUCCACACAUCACAAUUGGCCACCCAUUUGCAAUUUGGAUAUCCUUUUUGUCUCCUACUAUGUUCCAUAUGUAUGGUUAGUUAUGCUUUGCUUUCAAUUUCCUGUUUCCAUGAAUUUUAUGGUGCAAUGCCGAAGCUUUCUUAGUGCAAAAUGUACUAUCUUGUUGUAUCUGGCAGCAAACUAUAUGGCUGUCCGUAGUCUUUCACUGAAUACCCUGAACUUUGAAAGAUGCUCCAUUGUUUUAUCACAAUUGUUCAAGACGCCAAGGUGAGUUGAACAAUUUAAUAUUUUCAGUCAUAGAAUGAAUAACUGAAUCCAUAUCCUAGAAUAUCAUUAGAGUAGGAAUAUUUAUGACACUGUGUUGCGAUGCUAAAAUGCGUUAAAUUUUCUGUUGCUUUUAUCUUUUGCGAUUGAACUAUUAAUUUAGAUCUUUUGUGUGUGCUGAAUGUUUCACACGAGUUUUUGACUAGACAUGCAGAAAAUUAUGUAAAUCUUGAGCUAUAUGACGUAAGGUUGCUAAUAUGGAGGUUUCACACCUUGGUUCAAGUUCUCUCUCCAAAGCAGGUCUCCUCCAUGGAGCAUGUUCUACCUUCACAACUGACCUGAUGGACCCCCAAAUACAGUGACUCUCCAUACAAGCGAGUACAUUUAGGUGUCAGAGUUUCUUCAUUUGGCAGCCUUGCUAUGGUCAACUUCUUACAAAUCUGCUGAAUCAACUCACAAAAAAGUGAAGUAUUUACUUCAACAAGAAAGGGAAAUUAUCAACAUUGUUACUCAUAAGGAUUCAGCUGCAGCUGAUAUAUUGCAAUCAUUCAUCCAUGAGCUUGUCAUGGCAAAACUAGGUGAUCAAGGUGGAUCCAUGUCUUUUGAGAGCCAAUCCUGGAUGGAUAAACACUACGUAGUAUUUGUUCUGAAGGUAUUUUCCUACAUGAAGAGCUUUCGGGGACGAAAUUCAUGAUAUAUUCACUGCUUUUAUAAUUAGAUCAUAGUCAAUUAAUGUUGCUAUUGAGUAGGUUGAUCUUAUCCAUGCUUCUCUUUAAUGUGAGAUUACAGAAUUUUAGCCAAAUUAUACAGAACCAGCUCCUCUGCUUUGGCCUAUCACAGUUGCAGGCCAGUAGUCCUAUUAUUCUGCAUAUAGAAUAGUUUUUGAUGUUUAUGUACUGACCAAUCAACCUUGUAAAAUUGUGUGCAACACAGCACUGCUUGAAAUAUCUCUAUUUUUGGCACAAGAUGAAGACUGCUCCUAUAGGCACGAGGGUUAGGGAGGGUGAAUUGAAGCCCAUGGACGCAGAGCAACAGAGAGAGUAUGGCCACAAGAUGGUGAAUUUCAUUGCUGAUUAUUACAAGAACAAUGAGAACUACUGUUCUCAAUCAAGUUCAGGUUUUCACAACCUAUUAAUUUCGUUUUGUAUUUGUUCCGAAAGUAUUUUGGUGGAGUUUGUGGAGACUUAGCUAGAAAAAAAUUAUUCCAUUAUAUUCUAAAUGAUUUAGUGAAGCUCAAUUUUUUAAUGAAUA